GGUUAAGUGACUAAGCGUACACGGUGGAUGCCUUGGCAGUCAGAGGCGAUGAAAGACGUAGUAACUUGCGAUAAGCCCAGAUUAGGUAGUAACAACCAUUUGAGUCUGGGAUUUCUGAAUGGGGAAACCCACUUACAUAAGUAAGUAUCAUUAACUGAAUACAUAGGUUAAUGAGGCGAACCGGGGAACUGAAACAUCUAAGUACCCCGAGGAAAAGAAAUCAACCGAGAUUCCGAAAGUAGCGGCGAGCGAAAUUGGACUAGCCCUUAAGCUUUACACGCGUUAGACGAACGGUCUGGAAAGUCCGACGAUACAGGGUGAUAGUCCCGUAGUUGACGACGUGUGUUCAGUGAAAUCGAGUAGGGCGGGACACGUGAUAUCCUGUCUGAAUAUGGGGGGACCAUCCUCCAAGGCUAAAUACUACUGACUGACCGAUAGUGAACCAGUACCGUGAGGGAAAGGCGAAAAGAACCCCUGUGAGGGGAGUGAAAUAGAACCUGAAACCGUGUACGUACAAGCAGUAGGAGCAGGCUUUGUCCUGUGACUGCGUACCUUUUGUAUAAUGGGUCAGCGACUUAUAUUCAGUGGCAAGGUUAACCAUCUAGGGGAGCCGUAGGGAAACCGAGUCUUAACUGGGCGUUCAGUCUCUGGAUAUAGACCCGAAACCAGGUGAUCUAGCCAUGGGCAGGUUGAAGGUUGAGUAACAUCAACUGGAGGACCGAACCGACUAAUGUUGAAAAAUUAGCGGAUGACUUGUGGCUAGGGGUGAAAGGCCAAUCAAACCUGGAGAUAGCUGGUUCUCCCCGAAAGCUAUUUAGGUAGCGCCUCGGACGAAUACUACUGGGGGUAGAGCACUGUUAAGGCUAGGGGGUCAUCCCGACUUACCAACCCUUUGCAAACUCCGAAUACCAGUAAGUACUAUCCGGGAGACACACGGCGGGUGCUAACGUCCGUCGUGGAGAGGGAAACAACCCAGACCGCCAGCUAAGGUCCCAAAUUACUACUAAGUGGGAAACGAUGUGGGAAGGCUCAGACAGCCAGGAUGUUGGCUUAGAAGCAGCCAUCAUUUAAAGAAAGCGUAAUAGCUCACUGGUCGAGUCGGCCUGCGCGGAAGAUGUAACGGGGCUAAGUAGUAAACCGAAGCUGCGGCAAUGUGCUUUUUGCACAUUGGGUAGGGGAGCGUUCUGUAAGCGGUUGAAGGUGUGUGGUAACGCAUGCUGGACGUAUCAGAAGUGCGAAUGCUGACAUGAGUAACGAUAAAGGGGGUGAAAAACCUCCUCGCCGGAAGACCAAGGGUUCCUGUCCAACGUUAAUCGGGGCAGGGUAAGUCGACCCCUAAGGCGAGGCCGAAAGGCGUAGUCGAUGGGAAACGGGUUAAUAUUCCCGUACUUCUUACAAUUGCGAUGGGGGGACGGAGAAGGCUAGGUGGGCCUGGCGACGGUUGUCCAGGUUCAAGUGCGUAGGCUUAAGAGUUAGGUAAAUCCGGCUCUUUUUAAGGCUGAGACACGACGUCGAGCACCUACGGGUGUGAAGUCAUUGAUGCCAUGCUUCCAGGAAAAGCCUCUAAGCUUCAGAUUGUAAGGAAUCGUACCCCAAACCGACACAGGUGGUCGGGUAGAGAAUACCAAGGCGCUUGAGAGAACUCGGGUGAAGGAACUAGGCAAAAUGGUACCGUAACUUCGGGAGAAGGUACGCUCUUGAUGGUGAAGUCCCUCGCGGAUGGAGCUGACGAGAGUCGCAGAUACCAGGUGGCUGCAACUGUUUAUUAAAAACACAGCACUGUGCAAAAUCGUAAGAUGACGUAUACGGUGUGACGCCUGCCCGGUGCCGGAAGGUUAAUUGAUGGGGUUAGACUUCGGUCGAAGCUCUUGAUCGAAGCCCCGGUAAACGGCGGCCGUAACUAUAACGGUCCUAAGGUAGCGAAAUUCCUUGUCGGGUAAGUUCCGACCUGCACGAAUGGCGUAAUGAUGGCCACGCUGUCUCCACCCGAGACUCAGUGAAAUUGAAAUCGCUGUGAAGAUGCAGUGUACCCGCGGCUAGACGGAAAGACCCCGUGAACCUUUACUACAGCUUGGCACUGAACAUUGACCCUACAUGUGUAGGAUAGGUGGGAGGCUUUGAAGCACGUACGCCAGUAUGUGUGGAGCCGUCCUUGAAAUACCACCCUUGUAGUGUUGAUGUUCUAACGUCGACCCCUUAUCGGGGUUGCGGACAGUGCCUGGUGGGUAGUUUGACUGGGGCGGUCUCCUCCCAAAGAGUAACGGAGGAGCACGAAGGUGGGCUAAUCACGGUUGGACAUCGUGAGGUUAGUGCAAUGGCAUAAGCCCGCUUGACUGCGAGAAUGACAAUUCGAGCAGGUGCGAAAGCAGGUCAUAGUGAUCCGGUGGUUCUGAAUGGAAGGGCCAUCGCUCAACGGAUAAAAGGUACUCCGGGGAUAACAGGCUGAUACCGCCCAAGAGUUCAUAUCGACGGCGGUGUUUGGCACCUCGAUGUCGGCUCAUCACAUCCUGGGGCUGAAGUCGGUCCCAAGGGUAUGGCUGUUCGCCAUUUAAAGUGGUACGCGAGCUGGGUUUAGAACGUCGUGAGACAGUUCGGUCCCUAUCUGCCGUGGGCGUUGGAAGAUUGAAGGGGGCUGCUCCUAGUACGAGAGGACCGGAGUGGACGAACCUCUGGUGUUCGGGUUGUGUCGCCAGACGCAUUGCCCGGUAGCUAAGUUCGGAAUCGAUAACCGCUGAAAGCAUCUAAGCGGGAAGCGAGCCCUGAGAUGAGUCUUCCCUGAUACUUUAAGUAUCCUAAAGGGUUGUCGGAGACUACGACGUUGAUAGGUCAGGUGUGUAAGUGCUGUGAGGCAUUGAGCUAACUGAUACUAAUUGCCCGUGAGGCUUAACCAU
This 2891-nucleotide ribosomal RNA is filed under the name Vibrio parahaemolyticus. RNAcentral's name for it is "23S ribosomal RNA". It matches the Rfam family "Bacterial large subunit ribosomal RNA". The record is from RNAcentral. Lineage: Bacteria; Pseudomonadati; Pseudomonadota; Gammaproteobacteria; Vibrionales; Vibrionaceae.